This 443-nucleotide ribosomal RNA is filed under the name uncultured Acidobacteriota bacterium. RNAcentral's name for it is "bacterial SSU rRNA". It matches the Rfam family "Bacterial small subunit ribosomal RNA", at positions 38 to 513 of the family's 1533-position model. Lineage: Bacteria; Pseudomonadati; Acidobacteriota. The record is from RNAcentral.
GGCGGCGUGCCUAACACAUGCAAGUCGCACGAGAAAGGGACUUCGGCCCUGAGUAAAGUGGCGCACGGGUGAGUAACACGUGAAUUAUCUACCUCCGAGUGGGGAAUAACCUAGAGAAAUCUGGGCUAAUACCGCAUAACACUUACGAGUCAAAGCAGCAAUGCGCUUGGAGAGGAGUUCGCGGCCGAUUAACUAGUUGGCGGGGUAAUGGCCCACCAAGGCGAUGAUCGGUAUCCGGCCUGAGAGGGCGCACGGACACACUGGAACUGAAACACGGUCCAGACUCCUACGGGAGGCAGCAGUGGGGAAUUUUGCGCAAUGGGGGAAACCCUGACGCAGCAACGCCGCGUGGAGGAUGAAGCCCCUUGGGGUGUNAACUCCUUUCGAUCGGGAAGAUCAUGACGGUACCGAUAUAAGAAGCCCCGGCUAACUUCGUGCCAGCA